Molecule: ribosomal RNA, 406 nt
Filed under: uncultured bacterium
Lineage: Bacteria
Description: partial 16S ribosomal RNA
Rfam family: Bacterial small subunit ribosomal RNA
Source: RNAcentral
AUUGAACGCUGGCGGCAGGCCUAACACAUGCAAGUCGGACGAGUGGCGGACGGGUGAGUAAUGUCUGGGAACGUGCCCGAUGGAGGGGGAUAACUAUUGGAAACGGUAGCUAAUACCGCAUACCAUCGGAUGUGCCCAGAUGGGAUUAGCUAGUAGGUGGGGUAACGGCUCACCUAGGCGACGAUCCUUAGCUGGUCUGAGAGGAUGAACAGCCAAACUGGAACUGAGACACGGUCCAGAUUCCGACGGGAGGCAGCAGUGGGGAAUAUUGCACAAUGGGCGCAAGCCUGAUGCAGCCAUGCCGCGUGGAUGAAGAAGGCCUUCGGGUUGUAAAGGACUUUCAGCGGGGAGGCGUUACUCGAAGAAGAAGCACCGGCUAACUCCGUGCCAGCAGCCGCGGUAAUAC